Malus domestica (apple) is the source of this 2333-nucleotide non-coding RNA. The record is from RefSeq and is a predicted model, not a curated record. Lineage: Eukaryota; Viridiplantae; Streptophyta; Magnoliopsida; Rosales; Rosaceae.
CUCCUGAUUCCUUCUUCCCAUUUCUCUCUCUCUCGAUAUACGCCUAUAUACAUGCGGCAGAGAGGCAGAGCGAACAACCGAAGAUCCAGGAGCUUUUCGAGAUCACGCAUUGCAGUUGAGGGAUCUUAGUCCCCAUCUUCUUCUUCUCCUCCUCAUUUCACUCACUCUCGUUUGAGUUUGGAUUCCAAUUCUCAGCUUUCUCGAUCACCGUCAACAAUGGCUGCUUCUGCUAAUGGUGAAGAACGGGAGGUGCAGAAGAACUACUGGGUGGAGCACUCCGCCGAUUUGACGGUUGAGGCCAUGAUGCUCGACUCCAAGGCCUCUGAUCUCGACAAGGAAGAACGACCUGAGGUGCUUUCUAUGCUCCCUCCCUAUGAGGGUCAAUCGAUUGUAGAACUCGGAGCUGGGAUAGGUCGUUUCACUGGAGAAUUAGCUGAAAAGGCCGGUCAGCUUGUCGCAUUAGACUUCAUUGACAGUGUGAUAAAGAAGAAUGAGAGCAUUAAUGGACACCAUAAGAACGUCAAGUUCAUGUGCGCUGAUGUGACAUCGCCUGAUCUGAAGAUUUCUGAAGGAUCAGUGGAUUUGAUAUUCUCAAAUUGGCUUCUUAUGUAUCUGUCAGAUAAGGAGGUAGAGAAGUUGGUGGAAAGGAUGAUGGGAUGGUUGAAGGUCGGCGGAUACAUCUUUUUCCGAGAGUCUUGUUUCCACCAAUCUGGAGACUCUAAACGAAAAUCCAACCCAACCCAUUACAGGGAACCCAGAUUUUAUACCAAGGUUUUCAAAGAAUGCCACAUGCCUGAUGAUUCAGGGAAUUUCUUUGAACUCUCUCUUGUUAGUUGCAAAUGUAUUGGAGCUUAUGUUCGGAACAAAAAGAAUCAAAAUCAGAUCUGCUGGUUAUGGCAGAAAGUCCCUUCAGAAAAUGAUAGAGGGUUCCAGCAGUUCUUGGAUAAUGUUCAGUACAAAAAUAAUGGCAUACUACGAUAUGAGCGUGUCUUUGGGCGAGGUUUCGUGAGCACAGGAGGGAUCGAGACUACGAAAGAAUUUGUGGCAAAGUUGGAUCUGAAGCCUGGCCAGAAAGUUCUUGAUGUAGGCUGUGGCAUCGGGGGAGGUGACUUCUAUAUGGCCUCAAACUUUGAUGUUGAGGUUAUUGGCAUUGACCUCUCUGUGAAUAUGAUUUCUUUUGCUCUCGAACAAUCCAUUGGACUCAAAUGCGCUGUCGAGUUUGAAGUUGCUGAUUGCACAAAAAAGACUUAUCCUGACAAUACCUUUGAUGUGAUAUACAGCCGCGACACCAUUUUACACAUUCAAGACAAGCCUGCAUUAUUCCGAUCCUUCUACGAGUGGUUGAAGCCAGGCGGUAAAGUUCUCAUCAGUGAUUACUGUAGGUGUGUUGGAACUCCAUCUGAAAACUUUGCUGAGUAUAUUAAGCAAAGGGGAUACGAUCUCCAUGAUGUAAAAGCUUAUGGUCAGAUGCUCAAGGACGCUGGUUUUGAUGAGGUCAUUGCUGAGGAUCGUACUGAUCAGUUCAAAGCAGUUCUGGAGCGGGAACUGGAUGCCGUUGAGAAGGAUAAGGAUUCAUUCGUCCAGGACUUUUCUCAGGAGGAUUAUGAUGACAUCAUCGGUGGAUGGAAGGCAAAACUGAUCAGGGUUGAUUCCGGCGAGCAGAAGUGGGGCCUGUUCAUUGCCAAGAAGAAUUGAUCCUUCUGAUAAUCUUCAUAUCCCGUGUUUUAUUAUUAGACUUAUGUAUUUUAAACGACGUUGCUCGUGAUUUAAUAUUUCUAGUUGCUAGUCUGUAGAACGAUCCUAUUUCAACUCAAUAAAGUUGUAGUGUGAUGUCUUUGGACUUUAGCCGCUAUGCAACGGAAUUGGAGUUGUAUUUCUUCAGUUGUUAUGAUCUCACAACAACCGGUGAAGUAGAGACCGUUUUGUAAUUUAUGCUCGACUGGAACUCGUUGGAGAUCACCUUUCUCUUUACCAUCUUCUGUAAAUUCUUUCGGGGGUGAGGACCUAAAAAUCUGCACCAGUAAGUCACGACAUGAGUACUAAUAUGAAACAAUAGUAGUGUGAAGCAAGGAACCCUACCUCAAUCCGUAAGCAUAAUCCAGUUGAAAAUGCACCGGUAUAAAUUGCAGGUAUCCAUUGAAAUGCAACAAUCCAGUCCCAUAGCUCUGUCCAUGUCCAUGGUGAUUGGUUGGAAUAGUCGGUACCAUCCAACAACCCUCCGAUGAAAACCCAAAUUUUGGAUAAGAGAGCAACGACACAAACAUCAUAUCCAAGAAUUGCAAAGAAGUUUUCUUUCUUUGUGCUUCCAGAAAUAUGUUCAGUUCGAAGCAUAU